RNAcentral lists this ribosomal RNA (448 nucleotides) under uncultured bacterium. RNAcentral describes it as "bacterial SSU rRNA". It matches the Rfam family "Bacterial small subunit ribosomal RNA", at positions 328 to 793 of the family's 1533-position model. The record is from RNAcentral.
GCUCCAGACUCCUACGGGAGGCAGCAGUGGGGGAUAUUGCACAAUGGGGGGAACCCUGAUGCAGCGACGCCGCGUGGGUGAAGAAGCGCCUCGGCGCGUAGAGCCCUGUCAGCAGGGAAGAAAGUGACAGUACCUGACUAAGAAGCCCCGGCUAACUACGUGCCAGCAGCCGCGGUAAUACGUAGGGGGCAAGCGUUAUCCGGAUUCACUGGGUGUAAAGGGAGCGCAGGCGGCACGGCAAGUCUGAUGUGAAAGCCCGGGGCUCAACCCCGGGACUGCAUUGGAAACUGCCGGGCUGGAGUGUCGGAGGGGUAAGCGGAAUUCCUAGUGUAGCGGUGAAAUGCGUAGAUAUUAGGAGGAACACCAGUGGCGAAGGCGGCUUACUGGACGAUCACUGACGCUGAGGCUCGAAAGCGUGGGGAGCAAACAGGAUUAGAUACCCUCGUAA